UCACCAAUAAAUCGCACCGGAGAGCAGAAGUGGAAAAAGAAGGGGAAGGAGGAAAUCCAUCGCUCGCUCAAGCUCUCGACAAUGGCGUCCCAAGCUGCUAGGGUUUCGUUCCGCGUAGUGGUGGCGCUCCUCGUGGUCCUCGUCCUCUUCUACGUCGGCCGCCCCCUCUACUGGAAGAUCUCCGCCACCGUCCACGACAUCCGCCACAACAAACAGACCGUCAAGCAAGGCCUGUCGCAGAUCGUUUACGAGGCGCAGAAAUCCGUCGGCUGGUUCCACGACGAGUCGGACUCUGGCGUCAUUGAAGACCGUAAAACUCGUGGUGCGGCCGCGGCGGCUCGGAGGCUCCUCCGCGAUGGUUAAUCCUUGUGGAAAAGUGCAUCGAUGAUGGUUGGUAUCUCGGCGUAUGCUGCGAAUAGCUGUAGAGUUAGAUGAUGAUCCGAGAAUUUCCUUUGGCUACAGAAGGAAUCAGAAAGGGAACGAGCUGAAAUCACUAUGUUAUUUGUGGAGGGGAUCAAUCGAUGUUCAGCGGAUAGCAUUUUGAUGAUGGGACCAUACCGUGGUCCGCGAUUGUUGCUCAUUCGAGAAAAGAACACCGGUUUUCUGCAAUGGUAGGGUUUGCAAUAUGAAACUCAGGUUCCACCUUGGAAUCGCAGUCGUGAGUUCCAAAUAAAGAUUCGACUCUCUUUAUCGACAGAGUAGUUGGAUUUUGGCAUGAUUGAUUAGCCAAGAGAUGUCCGGUACAGUUUUUGCCAUGUUCAUAGUGAAUGUGAUGUGAAAUCUCUAAUCAAA
Molecule: non-coding RNA, 792 nt
Organism: Punica granatum (pomegranate)
Lineage: Eukaryota; Viridiplantae; Streptophyta; Magnoliopsida; Myrtales; Lythraceae
Source: RefSeq, a predicted model, not a curated record